RNAcentral lists this long non-coding RNA (1020 nucleotides) under Helianthus annuus (common sunflower). RNAcentral describes it as "sRNA HanXRQr2_Chr17g0780901". Lineage: Eukaryota; Viridiplantae; Streptophyta; Magnoliopsida; Asterales; Asteraceae. The record is from RNAcentral.
ACCUGGAAACAGCCAGAGCUUCAUGAAUGCUUCAUUAACUGUGCCGUACAAGUGCCUAAUGCAUUUUGGUUGUGAUUAUACCGAAUUGAUACCAUACCGUUUGGUACCGAUACUAUAAUUUAGUUAAAAUCAAAACCAAUACCGUGCAAUAUAUGUUCGGUCAGUACCAGCAUCGUAUGGUACCGUUAAAAUUUCCAGAACCCGUACCGUACUCAUAGUACCGUUACAAAAACUGAGCUAAAUUCAAAACAGAAUACUGUACCAUAUAUGUUCGGUCAGUACCUUUAUUCGGUCAAAAAUAACUGUAAGGUAGAUUUUUGUAACCUAAUUAGAUUUGCUUCAAAAUAACAUGUUUAACAACACAGAAAAUACGAUCAUAGAAGUAAUACUCCGCAUCAAAUCAAAUAGAUAUAGUGAAUUGAUGCGAACUGCAUUAUGUUCUUACUAAAAACAUAUUAGCCUUUUGUUAUGAUUUCUAAUAAUGAUUCUACUCGAAACACAGAAGAGAUCGAUGCAUCUUAACAGCACAAACGCCUAUUGAAUCCACACACAACUAACGAGUAUGUUGUUACUAAACACAUAUUCGCCUUAUGUUACCAUUUCUAAUAACUUUACUACUCAAAACAAUGAACAGAUCGAUGCAUCUUAACCUCACAAACACCGAUUAAAUGAUUAGUAAACCUAGCUAUUAAAAGUUCUUCGUUAUCAGUAAUACAAAACGUACUAAAUCUACAACAUCUCCGAUUAUAUUAUAAUAAUAUACACUUCAAGUUAACCUAAUCACGCAUUAAUAUCACUAAAAGUGCAGAAAACUUCAGCUCAGAUCCACAACUGAACAAAUUAUAUAGCUAAAUGAUGAAUAAUAUACAUAUAAAGAGAGAUUUGAGAUCUUACAAGAUGAACAGGCGCUUUGAUAUGUUUAACGAGAGAUGAAGUGCACUGAUUGGCUCUAACUUCAUGCUUAUGGUGUCUCCUAAUGUGGCUGUACUCCGACGAAUCUGUAGCGUCAUCGUAGAAUAA